Molecule: long non-coding RNA, 345 nt
Organism: Perca flavescens (yellow perch)
Lineage: Eukaryota; Metazoa; Chordata; Actinopteri; Perciformes; Percidae
Exons: 3
Source: RefSeq, a predicted model, not a curated record
UUAUGAUGGAUAAUGUCAUUGCAAGGAAUGUAGCGAGUACAGUCAGUCUAGGCAGCGUAACUGCAUGGUUGGCAAGCUUCGUUCUUUUCAUCACCAUUGGAAAACUGCAGUCGCUGUACUCACGUGGAGAGUCAUGUAAGGGUUGGAGCCAGGUGUGUGGGGGUCAGGUGUCCAGCUGCUUCUCAUCAGCCACAACCAACCUGUGCUUCUUAUAACCGACGCAGACCAAGGACCCGUGUUGGACUGCCUCAAGACCUGAAAUCCCUUCACUGGAUCCCGCCACAAGCCUGCUCUGCCCCGCUCCUUCUCGGAUUACUUCAGAUCUGUCCCCCUAGAAAUCUGGAC